CCCUAGUAACGGCGAGUGAAGCGGCAACAGCUCAAAUUUGAAAUCUGGCUCUUUUAGAGUCCGAGUUGUAAUUUGCAGAGGGCGCUUUGGCUUUGGCAGCGGUCCAAGUUCCUUGGAACAGGACGUCACAGAGGGUGAGAAUCCCGUACGUGGUCGCUGGCUAUUGCCGUGUAAAGCCCCUUCGACGAGUCGAGUUGUUUGGGAAUGCAGCUCUAAAUGGGAGGUACAUUUCUUCUAAAGCUAAAUAUUGGCCAGAGACCGAUAGCGCACAAGUAGAGUGAUCGAAAGAUGAAAAGCACUUUGGAAAGAGAGUCAAACAGCACGUGAAAUUGUUGAAAGGGAAGCGCUUGCAGCCAGACUUGCUUGCAGUUGCUCAUCCGGGCUUUUGCCCGGUGCACUCUUCUGUAGGCAGGCCAGCAUCAGUUUGGGCGGUAGGAUAAAGGUCUCUGUCACGUACCUCUCUUCGGGGAGGCCUUAUAGGGGAGGCGACAUACUACCAGCCUGGACUGAGGUCCGCGCAUCUGCUAGGAUGCUGGCGUAAUGGCUGUAAGCGGCCCGUCUUGAAACACGGACCAAGGAGUCUAACAUCUAUGCGAGUGUUUGGGUGUCAAGCCCGAGCGCGUAAUGAAAGUGAACGGAGGUAGGACCCCGCAAGGGUGCACUAUCGACCGAUCCUGAUGUC
RNAcentral lists this ribosomal RNA (682 nucleotides) under Alternaria sp. OTU03. Its description in RNAcentral is "LSU rRNA". It matches the Rfam family "Eukaryotic large subunit ribosomal RNA", at positions 78 to 778 of the family's 3401-position model. Lineage: Eukaryota; Fungi; Ascomycota; Dothideomycetes; Pleosporales; Pleosporaceae. The record is from RNAcentral.